Molecule: long non-coding RNA, 721 nt
Filed under: Equus caballus (horse)
Lineage: Eukaryota; Metazoa; Chordata; Mammalia; Perissodactyla; Equidae
Description: lncRNA (ENSECAG00000035853.2)
Source: RNAcentral
CUUGCCUGAUGCUGUGUGUGUGUGGGAUGCAGACUCCUGGUGGAUCCAGGGGAGGAGUGAGCCCACCUGGGCUGCCUGCUGUUGCUAGGCUGGAGGUUGAAAAAUGCUGCGCCUGCAUCUCUGUCUUCUGUUGGGCCAGGUGGUCGGGGGGGACACAAGACUCCCUGCGGCUGUGCUGUCCCUUGGUCCUGGAGUCCCAAACUGGCUCACCACCUUCUUCCUCUUUUCGGAGACCUCCUGUGGCAGUUUGUCUGCUGCACUGUUUCCAGGGUUCCUGGUGAAGCCGGGGAAGGAGCAGGAAAAUGGGUCUACACUGGACAUCAGCAGCCAGAAGGCCAAUCAAAAGUCUCAGGUGCUCCAGGAUAUUUCCUCACCUCGUGGAGCUCCAGGUGCCUCAAAUAUCUCCACCAAGUGCCAUCACCUUUGUUCCGGUACCGUCUUCCUUGGGGCCUGGCAGAAGCAUACCUGUGAGAGGGCAUUAAGUUUUCAUCUGUGUGAAGUUGGUCAGAGACCACACAGCGCAGGAACAGAGACAGCUCUGAGCUUCUGUGUGUCCCAGCAGAGCGGCGUGUUCAGAUUCUGCACAGCCUCCUUGGUCUGGGCUGGCCGGCCUCUCCCUUUGUUCGCUCCCUUCCUCUGUGUCCUCCUUCAGCCUCUGCAGGCCUGCAGGCCGGGCUGUGCUGGGGGCCCUCCAUGGAUGCGGACGGCACCGUGGCUCCCC